Molecule: long non-coding RNA, 310 nt
Filed under: Ananas comosus (pineapple)
Lineage: Eukaryota; Viridiplantae; Streptophyta; Magnoliopsida; Poales; Bromeliaceae
Description: long non-coding RNA (ACOM_LNC007859)
Source: RNAcentral
UUUAAUCUUUAUACAUUUUUAAAUAUGUUAUUCUGAUUUUUUAUAAUUAGUUCAAUUUUAUAAUUAUAAAUAUAUUUUUUCAAAAAUUAUAAUAAUAUAAUAUAAAAAAUAUAAAAAAAUUAAAGAUUAAUUAUAAUUAAAUAUUUAAUCUAUAUUUAAUUAAAAUUUUCUAACGCAGAAAUAUAUUUAAAAAUAUCAAAAAUUUACAAAAAUAAUAUAUAAAAAUUAAUUUUUAUAAAAAUAUAUUUAUUAUUCAUUAUAUUUAUAAAAAUAUGUAAAAAAUUAACCCUAUAAAUAAUAGUCGUCUUCU